This 11767-nucleotide long non-coding RNA is filed under the name Brassica rapa (field mustard). RNAcentral describes it as "long non-coding RNA (BRAP_LNC003457)". The record is from RNAcentral. Lineage: Eukaryota; Viridiplantae; Streptophyta; Magnoliopsida; Brassicales; Brassicaceae.
AAAAAUUAAUAAUAAGUAAAUAUACAAUUAAGAAAUGGAAAUAAAUAAAUUAACUCUAUCUGAAAAAUCUAUAGUAGAAUAAAUAAUAAGUAAAUAUACAAUAUAAGAAAUAAAAAUAUUAUAUUAAACAUCUAUUGUAAUAUUAGACUAAGUUAUAUAUACAAUACAAAAAAAAAUAAACAAUAAGUAAAUAUAUAGUAAAAUAAAUAUAAAUAUUACAUUAAACAUCUAAUUUAAUAUUAUCAUUUGAUAUAAAAGCAAAAAAUUGGAAUAAUUAAAUAUACAAUAUAUAAAAAUAAACAAUAAGUAAAUAUACAAUAUCAAAAAUGGAAAAACUAAAUUAAACAUCUAUGUGAAAAAUGUAUAAUAAAAUAAAUAAUAAGUAAAAAUACACAUAAAAAACAAAAAAACAUAUUACAUUAAACAUCUAUUAUAAUAUUAGAAUAAGUAAAUAUAAAAUAUAUAAAAAAAAAUAACAAGUAAAUAUAUAAUAUAAGAAAUAGAAAACUACAUUAAACAUCUAUCUGAAAAAUAUAUAAUAAAAUAAAUAAUAAGUAAAUAUAUUGUAUAAGAAACAUAAAUAUUAUAUUAAACAUCUAUCGUACUAUUAGAAUUCGAUAUAAAAUCAAAACAAUUAUAAUAAGUAAAUAUAAAAUAUAAGAACAAAUAAGUAAUAAGUAAAUAUACAACCUUUGCAAAGUUUACUGUAGAGCAGAUCUGUCCAAAUUUUUUCUGAUCCCUCAUAUGGUCUUCUUGAAUCAGCUUUUAUUUCUUAUACCAGUCUCCAGUAAGCAAAAAUAAUUUCUAAAAUAUUAAGGGUAAAUCUUAAAAAGUUGUAACAGUUUUCUAAAAACCAAAAUAUAUAUUAUUUCAAAGGGUAAAUCUUAAAAAAUCUAAUUAUUUUUGUUCUUCUUUAUUUCUCUUAUAUACUAAAGUACAAGUCACUUGACCGACCAAAUUUGACAUGUGUAAUUUCCUUACAAAGCCUUAAAAAAAGUAAUCUGUUUUCAAAAAGUUCAAAUUUAACAUACUACCAAAAAAAAAUCAAAACUGUCUCAAGUUCCUUUAGUUUUAUGUAAUAGAUGAUGUUAUCUGUCAAGCGAAGGUAACAGCGGACGAUGUGCUUUAGAAGCCUAGGAGAAGGUGCUUCUGCAAGUGAAGUCACCAUAUUCCCCAAAAGUCGACUCAGAGCAAAGAAUCUAUCCACACAGACGCACAUGUAACGAAGCCCUUUGUUGUCCAGCAAAAUUUUCUGAAUAAUGAAGGUUGCAACCUGACAUUAAAAAAAAACAAAAACAAAUCAAUCUAAUGAGCUGUUGCAUUGCCGAAAUCAAUCAUAAGAAGCAUCUGAAAGUAGAGAAAACUCACAGUUUUUGAUAACUCGCUGCCACUUUCCAUUGUCUGGAGGCACAAUGGGAUGAUUUCAGUUUCAAGAAGGAACUUGAUCACUUCCGUAUCCUCAACCUACCAAAACAAAUGAACAAUGUUGCUAACACCAAUAUAAAAAUAACAAUGAUUCUGUGAUGUCUUAACAGUUUUCACUCAAAGGUUUUAGCAUGUUAAAAUGGUUGAUUAAUUCUCAGACUAUAUACUUGCCAGGGGAAUGUGGUUUUAAUAGCUAGACAUACCUUGACAAGUGCACCAAAUAUUAUAAGAAUGAUGAAACUUGCUCCUCAUGAACAAAAACAUUUGUUAGCAUCAUCGAUACUCAAAGAAGGUGCUGCAUGGACCGAUGAUAAUAUCAAAGGUGGAUAUGGAGUGAUACAAAAGCUGAUUAGGGAAAUCAAAUUACAUGAAACCUAUCUUUCUAUGAUAAGGAAGAAGAUUUCGGAAGAAAAAAAAUUAGUUCUACUUUUACAUCAGUAUAUAUAUAAUGAAAUUUAACAAUCUUCAUUUAUCCAAGAAUAAUUACUCAAUGUUUAAUCAUAUCAAAUGUUGAAAUUUAAAACACACCAUGAGCAUAAUGUAAUUGUUGCGAGUUAAUCACUUAACUGUGCAUGCGUUAUAGUGAUCAUAAAAGAAGAGACACUUUGAAAAUGUGUAUUAAAAUUAAAAAAAAAAAAUCAUUGAACAACCAAUUCAGUAGUUAAUAAUUUCUUCUAUUAUACAUUUUCUAAUGAUAAUACAGUUAUGUGAGUUGCAAAUACAUUUAUGUAUACAAGAUUGACAAAUAAAAAUUUAUACUAAUGAAAUAGACCUUUUGAGGUUCCAUGGGAUGUCCACAUAAUCAAAAAAAAUCUCCCGAAAAAUACCACGUGGCAUUAUUGCUAAAAAAUAAAAGUAUAUACAAUACAAAGAAAAAAAAUAAUAAGUAAUAUAUUGAUAAAAUAAAUAUUACAUUGAACAUUUAUUAUAAUAUUAGAAGAAGUAAAUAUAAAAUAUAAGAAAAAUAAAUAAGAAAAAAUAUAAUAAAACUACAAUUAGAAAACUAAAAAAUCUAUCUGAAAAAUAUAUAAUAAAUAAGUAUAUUGUAUUAGAAAUAGAUAUUAUUAAACAUCUAUCGUAUAUAUUAAAUUUGAUAUAAAAGCAAAAGAAUUAGAAUAAGUAAAUAUACAAUAUGAUAAAAAAAAAAUAUGCAAUAUUUGAACACAUAAAUAUUUAAUAUAAAAAUAAAUAAUAAAUAAAUAUACAAUAAAAAAUGGAAAUAAAUAAAUUAACUAUCUAUCUGAAAAAUCUAAAGUAGAAUAAAUAAUAAGUAAAUAUACAAUAUAAGAAAUAAAGAUAUUAUAUUAUACAUCUAUUGUAAUAUUAGACUAAGUAUAUAUACAAUACAAAAAAAUAAACAAUAAGUAAAUAUAUAGUAUAAUAAAUAUAAAUAUUACAUUAAACAUCUAAUUUAAUAUUAUCAUUUGAUAUAAAAGCAAAAAAUUGGAAUAAUUAAAUAUACAAUAUAUAAAAAUAAACAAUAAGUAAAUAUAAAAUAUCAAAAAUGGAAAAAAUAAAUUAAACAUCUAUGUGAAAAAUGUAUAAUAAAAUAAAUAAUAAGUAAAGAUACACAUAAAAAACAAAAAAAACAUAUUACAUUAAACAUCUAUUAUAAUAUUAGGAUAAGUAAAUAUAAAAUAAAAAAAAAAAAAAAUAACAAGUAAAUAUAUAAUAUAAGAACUAGAAAACUACAUUAAACAUCUAUCUGAAAAAUAUAUAAUAAAAUAAAUAAUAAGUAAAUAUAUUGUAUAAGAAACAUAAAUAUUAUAUUAAACAUCUAUCGUAAUAUUAGAAUUCGAUAUAAAAUCAAAACAAUUAUAAUAAGUAAAUAUAAAAUAUAAGAACAAAUAAAUAAUAAGUAAAUAUACAACCUUUGCAAACUUUACUGUAGAGCAGAUCUGUCCAAAUUUUUUCUGAUCCCUCAUAUGGUCUUCUUGAAUCAGCUUUUAUUUCUUAUACCAGUCUCCAGUAAGCAAAAAUAAUUUCUAAAAUAUUAAGGGUAAAUCUUAAAAAGUUGUAACAGUUUUCUAAAAACCAAAAUAUAUAUUAUUUCAAAGGGUAAAUCUUAAAAAAUCUAAUUAUUUUUGUUCUUCUUUAUUUCUCUUAUAUACUAAAGUACAAGUCACUUGACCGACCAAAUUUGACAUAUGUAAUUUCCUUACAAAGCCUUAAAAAAAGUAAUUUGUUUUCAAAAAGUUAAAAUUUAACAUACUACCAAAAAAAAAUCAAAACUGUCUCAAGUUCCUUUAGUUUUAUGUAAUAGAUGAUGUUAUCUGUCAAGCGAAGGUAACAGCGGACGAUGUGCUUUAGAAGCCUAGGAGAAGGUGCUUCUGCAAGUGAAGUCACCAUAUUCCCCAAAACUCGACUCAGAGCAAAGAAUCUAUCCACACAGACGCACAUGUAACGAAGCCCUUCGUUGUCCAGCAAAAUUUUCUGGAUAAUGAAGGUUGCAACCUGACAUUAAAAAAAAAAACAAAAACAAAUCAAUCUAAUGAGCUGUUGCAUUGCCGAAAUCAAUCAUAAGAAGCAUCUGAAAGUAGAGAAAACUCACAGUUUUUGAUAACUCGCUGCCACUUUCCAUUGUCUGGAGGCACAAUGGGAUGAUUUCAGUUUCAAGAAGGAACUUGAUCACUUCCGUAUCCUCAACCUACCAAAACAAAUGAACAAUGUUGCUAACACCAAUAUAAAAAUAACAAUGAUUCUGUGAUGUCUUAACAGUUUUCACUCAAAGGUUUUAGCAUGUUAAAAUGGUUAAUUUAAUUCUCAGAUUAUAUACUUGCCAGGGGAAUAUGGUUUUAAUAGCUAGACAUACCUUGACAAGUGCACCAAAUAUUAUAAGAAUGAUGAAACUUGAUCCUCAUGAUCAAAAACAUUUGUUAGCAUCAUCGAUACUCAAAGAAGGUGCUGCAUGGAUCGAUGAUAAUAUCAGAGGUGGAUAUGGAGUGAUACAAAAGCUGAUUAGGGAAAUCAAAUUACAUGAAACCUAUCUUUCUAUGAUAAGGAAGAAGAUUUCAGAAGAAAAAAAAUUAGUUCUACUUUUACAUCAGUAUAUAUAUAUAAUGAAAUUUAACAAUCUUCAUUUAUCCAAGAAUAAUUACUCAAUGUUUAAUCAUAUCAAAUGUUGAAAUUUAAAACACACCAUGAGCAUAAUGUAAUUGUUGCGAGUUAAUCACUUAAUUGUGCAUACGUUAUAGUGAUCAUAAAAGAAGAGACACUUUGAAAAUGUGUAUUGAAAUUUAAAAAAAAAAAUCAUUGAACAACCAAUUCAGUAGUUAAUAAUUUCUUCUAUUAUACAUUUUCUAAUGAUAAUACAGUUAUGUGAGUUGCAAAUACAUUUAUGUAUACAAGAUUGACAAAUAAAAAUUUAUACUAAUGAAAUAGACCUUUUGAGGUUCCAUGGGAUGUCCACAUAAUCAAAAAAAAAUCUCCCGAAAAAUACCACGUGGCAUUAUUGCUAAAAAAUAAAAAGUAAAUAUACAAUACAAAGAAAAAUAAAUAAUAAGUAAUAUAUAAUAUAAAAAUAGAAAUAUUACAUUGAACAUUUAUUAUAAUAUUAGAAGAAGUAAAUAUAAAAUAUAAGAAAAAUAAAUAAGAAGUAAAUAUAUAAUAUAAGAAAUAGAAAACUACAUUAAAAAUCUAUCUGAAAAAUAUAUAAUAAAAAAUAAUAAGUAAAUAUAUUGUAUAAGAAAUAGAGAUAUUACAUUAAACAUCUAUCGUAAUAUUAGAAUUUGAUAUAAAAGCAAAACAAUUAGAAUAGGUAAAUAUACAAUAUGAUAAAAAAAUGUAAAUAUGCAAUAUUUGAACACAUAAAUAUUUAAUAUAAAAAUAAAUAAUAAAUAAAUAUACAAUUAAGAAAUGGAAAUAAAUAAAUUAACUAUCUAUCUGAAAAAUCUAAAGUAGAAUAAAUAAUAAGUAAAUAUAUAAUAUAAGAAAUAAAAAUAUUAUAUUAUACAUCUAUUGUAAUAUUAGACUAAGUAUAUAUACAAUACAAAAAAAAAACAAUAAGUAAAUAUAUAGUAUAAUAAAUAUAAAUAUUACAUUAAACAUCUAAUUUAAUAUUAUCAUUUGAUAUAAAAGCAAAAAAUUGGAAUAAUUAAAUAUAAAAUAUAUAAAAAUAAACAAUAAGUAAAUAUAAAAUAUCAAAAAUAGAAAAACUAAAUUAAACAUCUAUGUGAAAAAUGUAUAAUAAAAUAAAUAAUAAGUAAAAAUACACAUAAAAAGCAAAAAAAACAUAUUACAUUAAACAUCUAUUAUAAUAUUAGAAUAAGUAAAUAUAAAGUAUAAGAAAAAUAAAUAACAAGUAAAUAUAUAAUAUAAGAACUAGAAAACUACAUUAAACAUCUAUCUGAAAAAUAUAUAAUAAAAUAAAUAAUAAGUAAAUAUAUUGUAUAAGAAACAGAAAUAUUAUAUUAAACAUCUAUCGUAAUAUUAGAAUUCGAUAUAAAAUCAAAACAAUUAUAAUAAGUAAAUAUAAAAUAUAAGAACAAAUAAAUAAUAAGUAAAUAUACAACCUUUGCAAAGUUUACUGUAGAGCAGAUCUGUCCAAAUUUUUUCUGAUCCCUCAUAUGGUCUUCUUGAAACAGCUUUUAUUUCUUAUACCAGUCUCCAGUAAGCAAAAAUAAUUUCUAAAAUAUUAAGGGUAAAUCUUAAAAAGUUGUAACAGUUUUCUAAAAACCAAAAUAUAUAAUAUUUCAAAGGGUAAAUCUUAAAAAAAUCUAAUUAUUUUUGUUCUUAUUUAUUUCUCUUAUAUACUAAAGUACAAGUCACUUGACCGACCAAAUUUGACAUGUGUAAUUUCCUUACAAAGCCUUAAAAAAAAGUAAUAUGUUUUCACAAAGUUCAAAUUUAACAUACUACCAAAAAAAAAUCAAAACUAUCUCAAGUUCCUUUAAUUUUAUGUAAUAGAAGAUGUUAUCUGUCAAGCGAAGGUAACAGCGGACGAUGUGCUUUAGAAGCCUAGGAGAAGGUGCUUCUGCAAGUGAAGUCACCAUAUUCCCCAAAACUCGACUCAGAGCAAAGAAUCUAUCCACACAGACGCACAUGUAACGAAGCCCUUCGUUGUCCAGCAAAAUUUUCUGGAUAAUGAAGGUUGCAACCUGACAUUAAAAAAAAAAAAAAACAAAUCAAUCUAAUGGGCUGUUGCAUUGCCGAAAUCAAUCAUAAGAAGCAUCUGAAAGUAGAGAAAACUCACAGUUUUUGAUAACUCGCUGCCACUUUCCAUUGUCUGGAGGCACAAUGGGAUGAUUUCAGUUUCAAGAAGGAACUUGAUCACUUCCGUAUCCUCAACCUACCAAAACAAAUGAACAAUGUUGCUAACACCAAUAUAAAAAUAACAAUGAUUCUGUGAUGUCUUAACAGUUUUCACUCAAAGGUUUUAGCAUGUUAAAAUGGUUGAUUAAUUCUCAGAUUAUAUACUUGCCAGGGGAAAAUGGUUUUAAUAGCUAGACAUACCUUGACAAGUGCACCAAAUAUUAUAAGAAUGAUGAAACUUGAUCCUCAUGAACAAAAAACAUUUGUUAGCAUCAUCGAUACUCAAAGAAGGUGCUGCAUGGAUCGAUGAUAAUAUCAGAGGUGGAUAUGGAGUGAUACAAAAGCUGAUUAGGGAAAUCAAAUUACAUGAAACCUAUCUUUCUAUGAUAAGGAAGAAGAUUUCAGAAGAAAAAAAAUUAGUUCUACUUUUACAUCAGUAUAUAUAUAUAAUGAAAUUUAACAAUCUUCAUUUAUCCAAGAAUAAUUACUCAAUGUUUAAUCAUAUCAAAUGUUGAAAUUUAAAACACACCAUGAGCAUAAUGUAAUUGUUGCGAGUUAAUCACUUAAUUGUGCAUGCAUUAUAGUGAUCAUAAAAGAAGAGACACUUUGAAAAUGUGUAUUGAAAUUUAAAAAAAAAUCAUUGAACAACCAAUUCAGUAGUUAAUAAUUUCUUCUAUUAUAUAUUUUCUAAUGAUAAUAUAGUUAUGUGAGUUGGAAAUACAUUUAUGUAUACAAGAUUGACAAAUAAAAAUUUAUACUAAUGAAAUAGACAUUUUGAGGUUCCAUGGGAUGUCCACAUAAUCAAAGUAAAAUCUCCCAAAAAAUACCACGUGGCAUUAUUGCUAAAAAAUAAAAAGUAAAUAUACAAUACAAAGAAAUAUAAAUAAUAAGUAAUAUAUAAUAUAAAAAUAGAAAUAUUACAUUGAACAUUUAUUAUAAUAUUAGAAGAAGUAAAUAUAAAAUAUAAGAAAAAUAAAUAAGAAGUAAAUAUAUAAUAUAAGAAAUAGAAAACUACAUUAAAAAUCUAUCUGAAAAAUAUAUAAUAAAAAAAUAAUAAGUAAAUAUAUUGUAUAAGAAAUAGAGAUAUUACAUUAAACAUCUAUCGUAAUAUUAGAAUUUGAUAUAAAAGCAAAACAAUUAGAAUAGGUAAAUAUACAAUAUGAUAAAAAAAAUGUAAAUAUGCAAUAUUUGAACACAUAAAUAUUUAAUAUAAAAAUAAAUAAUAAAUAAAUAUACAAUUAAGAAAUGGAAAUAAAUAAAUUAACUAUCUAUCUGAAAAAUCUAAAGUAGAAUAAAUAAUAAGUAAAUAUAUAAUAUAAGAAAUAAAAAUAUUAUAUUAUACAUCUAUUGUAAUAUUAGACUAAGUAUAUAUACAAUACAAAAAAAAAACAAUAAGUAAAUAUAUAGUAUAAUAAAUAUAAAUAUUACAUUAAACAUCUAAUUUAAUAUUAUCAUUUGAUAUAAAAGCAAAAAAUUGGAAUAAUUAAAUAUAAAUAUAUAAAAAUAAACAAUAAGUAAAUAUAAAAUAUCAAAAAUAGAAAAACUAAAUUAAACAUCUAUGUGAAAAAUGUAUAAUAAAAUAAAUAAUAAGUAAAAAUACACAUAAAAGCAAAAAAACAUAUUACAUUAAACAUCUAUUAUAAUAUUAGAAUAAGUAAAUAUAAAGUAUAAGAAAAAUAAAUAACAAGUAAAUAUAUAAUAUAAGAACUAGAAAACUACAUUAAACAUCUAUCUGAAAAAUAUAUAAUAAAAUAAAUAAUAAGUAAAUAUAUUGUAUAAGAAACAGAAAUAUUAUAUUAAACAUCUAUCGUAAUAUUAGAAUUCGAUAUAAAAUCAAAACAAUUAUAAUAAGUAAAUAUAAAAUAUAAGAACAAAUAAAUAAUAAGUAAAUAUACAACCUUUGCAAAGUUUACUGUAGAGCAGAUCUGUCCAAAUUUUUUCUGAUCCCUCAUAUGGUCUUCUUGAAUCAGCUUUUAUUUCUUAUACCAGUCUCCAGUAAGCAAAAAUAAUUUCUAAAAUAUUAAGGGUAAAUCUUAAAAAGUUGUAACAGUUUUCUAAAAACCAAAAUAUAUAAUAUUUCAAAGGGUAAAUCUUAAAAAAUCUAAUUAUUUUUGUUCUUAUUUAUUUCUCUUAUAUACUAAAGUACAAGUCACUUGACCGACCAAAUUUGACAUGUGUAAUUUCCUUACAAAGCCCUAAAAAAAGUAAUCUGUUUUCACAAAGUUCAAAUUUAACAUACUACCAAAAAAAAUCAAAACUAUCUCAAGUUCCUUUAAUUUUAUGUAAUAGAAGAUGUUAUCUGUCAAGCGAAGGUAACAGCGGACGAUGUGCUUUAGAAGCCUAGGAGAAGGUGCUUCUGCAAGUGAAGUCACCAUAUUCCCCAAAACUCGACUCAGAGCAAAGAAUCUAUCCACACAGACGCACAUGUAACGAAGCCCUUCGUUGUCCAGCAAAAUUUUCUGGAUAAUGAAGGUUGCAACCUGACAUUAAAAAAAAAACAAAAACAAAUCAAUCUAAUGGGCUGUUGCAUUGCCGAAAUCAAUCAUAAGAAGCAUCUGAAAGUAGAGAAAACUCACAGUUUUUGAUAACUCGCUGCCACUUUCCAUUGUCUGGAGGCACAAUGGGAUGAUUUCAGUUUCAAGAAGGAACUUGAUCACUUCCGUAUCCUCAACCUACCAAAACAAAUGAACAAUGUUGCUAACACCAAUAUAAAAAUAACAAUGAUUCUGUGAUGUCUUAACAGUUUUCACUCAAAGGUUUUAGCAUGUUAAAAUGGUUGAUUAAUUCUCAGAUUAUAUACUUGCCAGGGGAAAAUGGUUUUAAUAGCUAGACAUACCUUGACAAGUGCACCAAAUAUUAUAAGAAUGAUGAAACUUGAUCCUCAUGAACAAAAAACAUUUGUUAGCAUCAUCGAUACUCAAAGAAGGUGCUGCAUGGAUCGAUGAUAAUAUCAGAGGUGGAUAUGGAGUGAUACAAAAGCUGAUUAGGGAAAUCAAAUUACAUGAAACCUAUCUUUCUAUGAUAAGGAAGAAGAUUUCAGAAGAAAAAAAAUUAGUUCUACUUUUACAUCAGUAUAUAUAUAUAAUGAAAUUUAACAAUCUUCAUUUAUCCAAGAAUAAUUACUCAAUGUUUAAUCAUAUCAAAUGUUGAAAUUUAAAACACACCAUGAGCAUAAUGUAAUUGGUGCGAGUUAAUCACUUAAUUGUGCAUGCGUUAUAGUGAUCAUAAAAGAAGAGACACUUUGAAAAUGUGUAUUGAAAUUUUUUAAAAAAAAAAUCAUUGAACAACCAAUUCAGUAGUUAAUAAUUUCUUCUAUUAUACAUUUUCUAAUGAUAAUACAGUUAUGUGAGUUGCAAAUACAUUUAUGUAUACAAGAUUGACAAAUAAAAAUUUAUACUAAUGAAAUAGACCUUUUGAGGUUCCAUGGGAUGUCCACAUAAUCAAAGUAAAAUCUCCUGAAAAAUACCACGUGGCAUUAUUGCUAAAAAAUAAAAAGUAAAUAUACAAUACAAAGAAAUAUAAAUAAUAAGUAAUAUAUAAUAUAAAAAUAGAAAUAUUACAUUGAACAUUUAUUAUAAUAUUAGAAGAAGUAAAUAUAAAAUAUAAGAAAAAUAAAUAAGAAGUAAAUAUAUAAUAUAAGAAAUAGAAAACUACAUUAAAAAUCUAUCUGAAAAAUAUAUAAUAAAAAAAUAAUAAGUAAAUAUAUUGUAUAAAAAAGAGAUAUUACAUUAAACAUCUAUCGUAAUAUUAGAAUUUGAUAUAAAAGCAAAACAAUUAGAAUAAGUAAAUAUACAAUAUGAUAAAAAAAAUGUAAAUAUGCAAUAUUUGAACACAUAAAUAUUUAAUAUAAAAAUAAAUAAUAAAUAAAUAUAAAUUAAGAAAUGGAAAUAAAUAAAUUAACUAUCUAUCUGAAAAAUCUAAAGUAGAAUAAAUAAUAAGUAAAUAUACAAUAUAAGAAAUAAAAAUAUUAUAUUAUACAUGUAUUGUAAUAUUAGACUAAGUAUAUAUACAAUACAAAAAAAUAAACAAUAAGUAAAUAUAUAGUAUAAUAAACAUAAAUAUUACAUUAAACAUCUAAUUUAAUAUUAUCAUUUGAUAUAAAAGCAAAAAAUUGGAAUAAUUAAAUAUACAAUAUAUAAAAAUAAACAAUAAGUAAAUAUAAAAUAUCAAAAAUGGAAAAACUAAAAUUAAACAUCUAUGUGAAAAAUGUAUAAUAAAAUAAAUAAUAAGUAAAAAUACACAUAAAAAAAAACAUAUUACAUUAAACAUCUAUUAUAAUAUUAGAAUAAGUAAAUCUAAAAUAAAAGAAAAUAAAUAACAAGUAAAUAUAUAAUAUAAGAACUAGAAAACUACAUUAAACAUCUAUCUGAAAAAUAUAUAAUAAAAUAAAUAAUAAGUAAAUAUAUUGUAUAAGAAACAUAAAUAUUAUAUUAAACAUCUAUCGUAAUAUUAGAAUUCAAUAUAAAAUCAAAACAAUUAUAAUAAGUAAAUAUAAAAUAUAAGAACAAAUAAAUAAAAAGUAAAUAUACAACCUUUGCAAAGUUUACCGUAGAGCAGAUCUGUCCAAAUUUUUUAUGAUCCCUCAUAUGGUCUUCUUGAAUCAGCUUUUAUUUCUUAUACCAGUCUCCAGUAAGCAAAAAUAAUUUCUAAAAUAUUAAGGGUAAAUCUUAAAAAGUUGUAACAGUUUUCUAAAAACCAAAAUAUAUAUUAUUUCGAAGGGUAAAUCUUAAAAAAUCUAUUUAUUUUUGGUCUUAUUUAUUUCUCUUAUAUACUAAAGUACAAGUCACUUGGCCGACCAAAUUUGACAUGUGUAAUUUCCUUACAAAGCCUUAAAAAAGGUAAUCUGUUUUCAAAAAGUUAAAAUUUAACAUACUACCAAAAAAAAAUCAAAACUGUCUUAAGUUCCUUUAGUUUUAUGUAAUAGAUGAUGUUAUCUGUCAAGCGAAGGUAACAGCGGACGAUGUGCUUUAGAAGCCUAGGAGAAGGUGCUUCUUCAAGUGAAGUCACCAUAUUCCCCAAAACUCGACUCGGAGCAAAGAAUCUAUCCACACAGACGCACAUGUAACGAAGCCCUUCGUUGUCCAGCAAAAUU